Molecule: transfer RNA, 68 nt
Filed under: Nasutitermes ephratae
Lineage: Eukaryota; Metazoa; Arthropoda; Insecta; Blattodea; Termitidae
Also listed under: 4 other names
Description: tRNA-Trp
Source: RNAcentral
AAGGCCUUAAGUUAAAAGCAAACUAAUAACCUUCAAAGCUAUAAAUAAAGGGCUCCCUUUAGGCCUUG